This 493-nucleotide ribosomal RNA is filed under the name uncultured bacterium. Its description in RNAcentral is "partial 16S ribosomal RNA". It matches the Rfam family "Bacterial small subunit ribosomal RNA", at positions 30 to 523 of the family's 1533-position model. The record is from RNAcentral.
AUUGAACGCUGGCGGCAUGCUUUACACAUGCAAGUCGAACGGUAACAGGUUAGGCUGACGAGUGGCGAACGGGUGAGUAAUGCAUCGGAACGUGCCCGGUCGUGGGGGAUAACGCAGCGAAAGCUGCGCUAAUACCGCAUACGAUCUGAGGAUGAAAGCGGGGGACCGUAAGGCCUCGCGCGAUCGGAGCGGCCGAUGUCAGAUUAGGUAGUUGGUGGGGUAAAGGCUCACCAAGCCAACGAUCUGUAGCUGGUCUGAGAGGACGACCAGCCACACUGGGACUGAGACAAGGCCCAGACUCCUACGGGAGGCAGCAGUGGGGAAUUUUGGACAAUGGGCGAAAGCCUGAUCCAGCAAUGCUGCGUGCAGGAAGAAGGCCUUCGGGUUGUAAACUGCUUUUGUACGGAGCGAAAAGGUCUCCUCUAAUACAGGGGGCUCAUGACGGUACCGUAAGAAUAAGCACCGGCUAACUACGUGCCAGCCGCCGCCGUAA